RNAcentral lists this ribosomal RNA (562 nucleotides) under uncultured bacterium. RNAcentral describes it as "partial 16S ribosomal RNA". It matches the Rfam family "Bacterial small subunit ribosomal RNA", at positions 355 to 906 of the family's 1533-position model. The record is from RNAcentral.
UGGGGAAUUUUGGACAAUGGGCGAAAGCCUGAUCCAGCAAUGCCGCGUGUGUGAAGAAGGCCUUCGGGUUGUAAAGCACUUUUGUCCGGAAAGAAAUCCUUGGCUCUAAUACAGUCGGGGGAUGACGGUACCGGAAGAAUAAGCACCGGCUAACUACGUGCCAGCAGCCGCGGUAAUACGUAGGGUGCAAGCGUUAAUCGGAAUUACUGGGCGUAAAGCGUGCGCAGGCGGUUUGCUAAGACCGAUGUGAAAUCCCCGGGCUCAACCUGGGAACUGCAUUGGUGACUGGCAGGCUAGAGUAUGGCAGAGGGGGGUAGAAUUCCACGUGUAGCAGUGAAAUGCGUAGAGAUGUGGAGGAAUACCGAUGGCGAAGGCAGCCCCCUGGGCCAAUACUGACGCUCAUGCACGAAAGCGUGGGGAGCAAACAGGAUUAGAUACCCCUGGUAGUCCACGCCCUAAAACGAUGUCAACUAGUUGUUGGGGGAUUCAUUUCCUUAGUAACGUAGCUAACGCGUGAAGUUGACCGCCUGGGGAGUACGGUCGCAAGAUUAAAAACUUAAAU